GGAGCCUUAGGAUCUGCCUUGGAAAAGGAAUGAAGAGGUCUAGGGAGACUGGAGAGAGCCACUGAAGGGAAAAGGGUUCGGAAUUGGUAAUUGCUUUUGGCAGGAGAUGAGAGAGGAGGGGGUGAUACAGUGUGUAACCGGCCUCGGCCCGAAAAGCAUAAUGUGAACAACUUAAAAACUGUUUUACGAGAUCGUGAAUUCUAGUGAGUGCAACUUCCACGGGGGCUGGGGACUUAGCUGUUUUGUUUACCCAGCCAAGUGCCUGAUGCCGAGUAGGUACCUAGUAAGCCUUUGCCGCCUGGAUGACUGCAAGGCUGGAGGCGCCUCCUUUCAUCACUGAGCUGUAGGAGGAGUUGUGGAGCUAAACCCUACCUGGGAGGCAAGGUAACGCUGUAGAAACAGCUGCUUAAAUGCCUGAGGAAUGGAUGUGCCUGGACCUGCCUCGACUCCCAGGUGGCAAAUCAGAGCUGUUGCUGUGGGCCUACACCAGAUCCUUAAUCCACUGAGUGAGGCCAGGGAUCUAACCUGCAACCUCAUGGUUCCUAAUCGGAUUCGUUAACCACUGAGCAACGACGAGAACUCCCACUACAUAUAUUCUUUUUUUUUUUUUUUUAAGAUAUCUUUUUAUUUAUUUAUUUUUUGUUUGUUGUUUUGUUUUGUUUUGUUUUGCUUUAUCUAGGGCCGCUCCCACGGCAUGUGGAGGCUCCCAGGCUAGCGGUUGAAUCGGAGCUGUAGCCACCGGCCUACACCAGAGCCACAGCAACGUAGGAUCAGAGCCAUGUUUGCAGCCUACACCACAGCUCAGGGCAACGCCAGAUCCUUUAACCCACUGAGCAAGGCCAGGGAUCGAACCUGCAACCUCUUGGUUCCUAGUCAGAUUCGUUAACCACUGCGCCACGAAGGGAACUCCUUACUACAUAUAUUCUUUACACAAACUUUCAAAAGAAAAGGCAUUCAAGGUAUGCAUUUAUAUCUUAUAUAAAUAUUCAUUUUUAUAUUUAUAUAAAGAUAUCUUACAAGCAAUAAUUGAAGUCUGAAAAACAUUAUUAUAUUUGCACUUUUCAUACUUUCAAAAGUGAAAUUUGAAAUUUCUAAAGUGAAAUUAUUUUUGGAAGGUCUUUCAUAAACCAAAUAAGUACUUGAGACAACCUGGGCCAAAUUUAAAAAAUCCUUUUCAGAAAGAAGAAGGUGGAAGCUUAUGCUUUGAGCCCAGUUUGCCACUAAACUGGUUAUUAAACCUGAUUUAUUAUGAUAUGGACAGGCAUCAUAUCAGUUGAGGUGACCAUUAUAACUUCCAAACUCAUUUUAGGUUAAAUAUAAAAAUUCCAAACUAAAGCUUUUUUUUCCUUGAGAUAAAUCUCUAAUACUAAGUUUGAAAAUAUCCAUUGAUUUAUUAUUUUACAAAAAUUCAGAAUUCAUUAUGUGCUCUGCACUGUUUUAGACACUAGAAGACAAAAGUGAAUACAAUAUAAAAUUCUUGCCCUUAGGAAGCUAACGUUUUAGUGAGGGGUGUCAGGUUUUUUCUCCUUUGUAGGUAUUUAACGUAUGGUUUCAUAUACAGUUAUAGAAAUAGUAUGCUAUAGAGCCUACAGAAAAAAAAGAAGCAUUAAUUGAAGACUUGAGAAGUGGGUUCAUCGUGUGUGUACCAGGAACUGGCUUUUGCAUUAAAUUAGCAUUUCAGAAAUAUCUAUCUAUUUAUUUUUUUCAGUUUGAUAUUUCUUUUUAAUUACUCAAUUUAUUUUACUACAUUUAUAGUUGUACAACGAUCAUCAUGACCCAAUUUUGUAACAUUUCCAUCCCAAACCCCCAGCACAUCCCCUCACCCCCCAACCUGUCUCAUUUGGAAAGCAUACAUUUUUCAAAGUCUGUGAGUCAGUAUUUGUUCUGCAAGGAAGUUCAUUGUGUCUUUUUUUUAGAUUCCACAUGUAAGUGAUACCAUAUGAUGUUGAUGUCUUGCUGUCUGACUGACUUCACCUAGCAUGAUAAUUUCUAGGUCCAUCCAUGUUGCUGCAAAUGCCAUUAUUUCUUUCCUUUUAAUGGCUGAGUAAUGUUCCAUUGUGUACAUGUACCAUAUCUUCUGUAUCUAGUCCUCUGUCGAUGGACAUUUUGGUUGUUUCUAUGUCUUGGCUAUUGUACUGCAGUGCUGCAAUGAACAUUGGAGCACAUGUAUCUUUUCGAGUCAUGGUUUUUCUCUGGAUAGAUGCCCAGGAGAAGGAUUGCUGGAUCAAAUGGUAAUUCUGUUUUUAGUUUUCUGAGGAAUCUCCAUACUGCUUUCCACAGUGGUUGUACCAAAUUACAAUCCCACCAACAGUGUAAUAGAGUUCCUUUUUCUUCACACCCUCUCCAGCAUUUAUUGUUUGUAGACUUUUUUUUUUUUUUUUUUUUGGUCCUUUUGCCAUUUCUUGGGCCACUCCCUUGGCAUAUGGAGGUUUCCAGGCUAAGGGUCGAAUCGGAGCUGUAGCCACCGGCCUACACCAGGGCCACAGCAACACUGGAUCUGAGCUGCGUCUGCAACCUAUACCACAGCUCAUGGCAACUCGGGACCUUAACCCACUGAGCGAGGCCAGGGAUCGAACCCGCAACCUUAUGGUUCCUAGUGGGAUUUGUUAACCACUGAGCCACAACGGGAACUCCUGUUUGUAGACUUUUUAAUGAUGGUCAUUCUAGCCAGUGUAAGGUGGUAUCUCAAAGUGGUUUUGAUUUGCAUCAGAAAUAUCUAAGUCCACAUUGUUGACACUACAGUGAAAGCAGUGAAACUUGUCAGCAGAUGAUUAAGUUUUAUGGUUAAUGUCCACACUUUUGCAUCUUGGGACCAAUAUCAAGUUUCUGGGAAAAACAUCCUUCCUGUCUCCCCAUGUCUGUCAUUAAAUCAGUGUCUCAGCCUGUUGGUGUUAGAUGUGUUC
RNAcentral lists this long non-coding RNA (2903 nucleotides) under Sus scrofa (pig). RNAcentral describes it as "lncRNA (ENSSSCG00025011872.1)". The record is from RNAcentral. Lineage: Eukaryota; Metazoa; Chordata; Mammalia; Artiodactyla; Suidae.